GCUGACCUCGUUCGUGCACGGCGCGGAACAACGCUUGAUCUGAUAGAGCAGACAGGGGCGCGUGCGUGUUUCGAAGACACUGUCGGUGCAGGUUCUGAGAAGAAAGGCGCGCUGCAGCGAGUUGAUCGUGCGUCCGACUG
RNAcentral lists this small RNA (140 nucleotides) under Sinorhizobium meliloti 2011. RNAcentral describes it as "putative ncRNA". Lineage: Bacteria; Pseudomonadati; Pseudomonadota; Alphaproteobacteria; Hyphomicrobiales; Rhizobiaceae. The record is from RNAcentral.